RNAcentral lists this ribosomal RNA (484 nucleotides) under uncultured bacterium. RNAcentral describes it as "partial 16S ribosomal RNA". It matches the Rfam family "Bacterial small subunit ribosomal RNA", at positions 30 to 507 of the family's 1533-position model. The record is from RNAcentral.
AUUGAACGCUGGCGGCAGGCCUAACACAUGCAAGUCGAGCGGAUGAAGGGAGCUUGCUCCUGGAUUCAGCGGCGGACGGGUGAGUAAUGCCUAGGAAUCUGCCUGGUAGUGGGGGAUAACGUCCGGAAACGGGCGCUAAUACCGCAUACGUCCUGAGGGAGAAAGUGGGGGAUCUUCGGACCUCACGCUAUCAGAUGAGCCUAGGUCGGAUUAGCUAGUUGGUGGGGUAAAGGCCUACCAAGGCGACGAUCCGUAACUGGUCUGAGAGGAUGAUCAGUCACACUGGAACUGAGACACGGUCCAGACUCCUACGGGAGGCAGCAGUAGGGAAUAUUCGACAAUGGGCGAAAGCCUGAUCCAGCCAUACCGCGUGUGUGAAGAAGGCCUUCGGAUUGUAAAGCACUUUAAGUUGGGAGGAAGGGCAGUAAGUUAAUACCUUGCUGUUUUGACGUUACCAACAGAAUAAGCACCGGCUAACUUCGUG